Lepisosteus oculatus (spotted gar) is the source of this 8789-nucleotide non-coding RNA. Lineage: Eukaryota; Metazoa; Chordata; Actinopteri; Semionotiformes; Lepisosteidae. The record is from RefSeq and is a predicted model, not a curated record.
GAAAUGCUUUCUUCACUUCCUCAUUACUUACUAGCUACAGAACUUCCUUGUUAAUAACUUCUAUCAGGAACAAAGACAGAAACAACUAUGCAGCCCAUACCAGAAGAUUUAAAGACACUUAUUUCAGACUUGGAGACCUUUCUCUCUGACGUGCUCAAGGGGGAGAAUUUAAGUAAGAAGGCAAAAGAGAAGAAGGAUGCAUUCAUCAAGAGAAUUAAAGAGGUGAAAUCAAGUUAUCCUCAAGAUUUUCAAGAAAAACGUGAUGCAGAGGACUCUGAUAAUUAUGAAGAACCCGAUGGCAGCGACAGUAUCUCUGAGAGAGCUGACAAAGACGAGGAAUCCUGCUACGAUGGAGCACAGCAGUCUCCAGCAGUGGCAGCUCAGGAUCUCCCUUCAGUCUUCAAGGCAGGAUACCUGGAGAAACGUAGGAAAGACCACAGCUUCUUCGGCACCGAGUGGCAGAAGCGCUGGUGUGCUCUGAGCAACCACACGUUCUACUACUACGGGAGUGAAAGGGACAAACAGCAGAAAGGCGAAUUUGCUAUAGAUGGCUACACAGUCAAGAUGAAUAAUACCCUCCGAAAAGAUGCCAAGAAAGAUUGCUGUUUUGAAAUAUCAGCUCCUGACAAACGCAUCUAUCAGUUUACUGCAGCCUCCCAGAAAGAUGCAGAAGACUGGGUUGAGCAGAUCCAGUUUGUGCUGAAAGACAUGGAGUCGGGCAUUAUUCCUGAGGACGAAGACGUGGAUCCCUAUGAUGACAUUGGGAUCGCGGAGCAACAAGCUCCUAGUGCUGCGGAGCCCAUUGAUGAAGAUAUCUACGAGGAACUUCCAGAGGAAGACCUGCCUAAUCCUCCUAAGAAAACACCAGAGGUUUCAAGCAAGCCUGUUGUUUCAAACGUGACAGUGAACAAGAGCACAGACUACAAGAGCUACUACCAGGGGCUGUGGGACUGCACGGGGGACCAGCCGGACGAGCUGUCCUUCAAGCGAGGGGACGCCAUCUACAUCCUCAGCAAGGAGUACCAGAGUUUCGGAUGGUGGGUUGGAGAGGCGAAGGGCUGUAUCGGCAUCGUGCCCAAAGCGUAUUUAACAGAGAUGUACGAUAUAUAAGGCAGCUCCGAGUGACGUCAGGAGUGGAGCCGCCCGGGUCUGGACAGGGGCUGCUGGGACGUCCUGCCUCCUGAGCCGGGCCUCAUCACACCACACGUCCGCUGUGAGGUUUCUGCACUGCACCACUUAUCUUCCCCAGAGAAAGGGACGGUACUAUUCCUGUAACAUGUUGCUCAUGAAAUUAAUUCAAAUGCAUCAGCUAUCAAUCUUGAUGAGCUCAAGCAGAGCCGGUUAGCUCGAAAGCAUCAGCCUGCAUAUAAUCCGGAUUUUAUCUCUUUACAAGUAUUGUUUUUCAGGUCAUAUUGAAAUGAGAUACAGUAAAAUUUGCAUCUUUUGGCAUAAUAUAUAAAAAUAAUUUCUAUUUAUUUUUGAAUGCUUGCUAAACAGAUAAUUUAGUGCCAUUUGUUCUUUAAACCAUUUUGUUUUCACUCCAGCUUCUUCUUACAGAGUAUCUCUCCAGUGUCUUUUUAAAAUAAAGCUUCUUGUUGGAUUCUGUGAACUGGCUGCUAAUGAUUUGCUCGGCAAGUGAUUUUUUUAUCAAGAAACAGUGUAAAGGAACAGUGUGUGACUGUGAGUGACGAUCUCGGGUGUCCAUGUGCUGCAUCAGCUUUUUGAAACAACAGAAUUCAACACUAGGUGGCAGCAGAGGUCCAAUCCUGAUAUGGGUUUCUCCUCCUCUCAGUGACCCUUCCCAGCCUGCUUUGUGUCUGUCCUGCUCAGCCAGGAGGCGGGGUGUCAGUCAGGGAAAAUAUCAUGCGGGCUAAAAUCCUUUUUAAUCGUUUUCUUAUAUUACACAGCUCGGUUGUGAGUGACACAGUUUGACUCUUCUUUUCUCAGCUUGGUUUUUAGCUUCUCAGAUAAAUGAGCCAUAGCUCUCUUAAGGAUUUUACUUUUUAAUAUGGUAUAUUUGAUAUAUAAAAUUAACUUUAUAUAGCACAAAUAUAAUAGCAGUACAAUAAUAAAUAAAGGUUCAGAAAGCCCCUAAAUUAAAGUAAUUUGAUGUUUAGUUCACAUUAUCACACACAUAGUCCUCAGAGUUAAAUUACACUUUUAAAGACCUAUUUCCACAUAAAAUCAUUUAAUAUAAUGUUGAUAUUAUACAGUAUAUACAAAACUUUAAUGACAAAAACAAAGAAGUCAGGGGGGCAUCCUGUUUUUAUAUUUUCGCUUGUCUGUCCAACAACAGGUUUUGACUCAAUGGUUAAACACAUCCUUUAAGAAUCGUUAUUUGAAAAGUUGCACAAUUUCCUUACUCAAAAGUAACAUUAAUAUAUAUUUUGUUUCAAAUCAUAAUUUAUUCAGAAGACUUCAAAAAAUACAUACCUGAAGCACAUGACUGCGUUUCAUUUCAUUUACCAGCAUUUCUGUGAUGGUGUAUUUGACAACGUCCACAGUCAUUUACGAACUGUUUCAUUCCAUUAGCUGGUGUAUAAUAGUGCACAUAGUAAUUACACACAUAUCCAGACUGAGCAAGCAACCUAAAUGGAAACUAUAUUAGAAAGAUUAAAUUUGAUAGUCCUGUGGUAUUAAACCAAUAAAUUGAAAUUAAAAUGAAAUAUAUAUAUAUUAUCAGCCUUGGUACCUCUGAACAAGGUAUUGUUAAUGUUUUUGUUUAUUGCAUAAUAAUUCCUUUUAUUCCUUCCACAUAAAUCUGUGCCUUUUUCCACCAUUGUGUUUUAAGGAAUGAUUGUAGAGAUAAUUAUAACGGAAUUAAGUCAAUAAUGAAUCGCUUUCCACCUUGUUAUUUUUGUGUACUCAGAAUCUGUCACUAAAUCUUGUAAUAAUGUUCCACCCUGCAAAUUUUUAAGGUUCAAAUAAAGUUUAAUUGUUUGCAAACUGUUAAAAUGCUAAUAAUUCAACAGCCUGCUGUGUAACUAAUGAAAUUACUUUAUGAUUAAUUUGAAAAAUAGAGAGUUGAUUGUAGUAAUUAAACAAAACAAGGUGAAGUAAAUGAUUCUAAUGCCAUCUGGCCCCUAAACUGAACCAAAAUAAAUUAAAUGGUGCCAUCAAGUAAAUUUAUUUAGGGAAAUAAAGAUAUUGUAAUAGAAUCAUUGUAGGGAUUGUGAGGAUGUUGUGAAUUACCAGAGGAGUCAUUUGGGGGGAGUUUAGACUAGAUUUCCUGUUUUGUGAUUUGGAAUAUCGUUGUUCAUUCCAUAGGUAACACAUUGAGCACACGUUUUAAUCGCUGUGUUGCAAUGGUUUUGUUUUAAUAUAUUACUUUUUCAUUUGAAGGUGGUGCGGUAUUAUUUUGGGGGGUAUUCCUUUUACCUCUGUCCUCAAAGAUCAACGAAAGGGAACUGUUUGUUUUUAUCUCUUAAUGUUAUACUCAAACGGUGUCUUCUUACGCAGCAAAAAGAGAACAAUUUGAUAAACUUGAGUUUUUUAUGUGCUUGUGAAAUUGUUUGUUUAAAGGAUUAACUCAGAAUAAUAAACAACUGGCACUGUAGAACACACUUUUAAACUACGUACUUUGAAAGACAUUAAAAAAAUUGAAGUGAAAUGCAUGUCUUACCAAGAACAAAGCACUAUUAAUGUGUUUGCUUGUGGCUCUUAACGAUCUAAAUAUUUCAAAACCUGUGCCUUUAAGAAGGCUUUUGCUGAAAAUACAGAGCUGUCAUUAAGUCGUCCUGGUCUGCACAAUCCAAAAUACCCCCUAGCUCUAUUCACAAUCAGCUCCUUCAUGAUGACAAGUCAGUGCAGAAGGAGUUAAAUGUAAAUUGUGUAACAAAUUGGCUAUAUAAUGUGGCACAAUAUUCCGAAAUGAAGUGUAACAUAUUUAGUAGAAAAUAAAUUGUUAGCUUCAGAACAGUGUGUUAUGCGUUCAAUCAGUUUGCAUGUCUUCUCUUCAAAACUCUUCAUCAUCUUGACAAGAGCCAUUUAUAUUGUUAUUAUGAUUUUACAUCUUUUCAGCCCAAGACAGGAAAGUGUCUUUGGUAUUACUUCUUUGUUGUCAGUGUUGAACACAACAAACAGGCAGUAGUGUGCUUCGAUUUCAGCCACUUCUGUUCCUCUUUGAAAGCGUUCAGUCUUUAAACCUAUUGAACUGACCUUCCUUGUGUUAAUUUCAUUCUUCUCCCACUUUUUUGAAAUUAUGCAUUAAAUAAUUAUCAUAUAUUUGAUCAAUUGUGAAUUAGACUGCAUUUAUAUUUAUACAAGGAAAAGCUGAAUUUCUGUAGGAGACGUAUAAUAGUAAUAAUCUUCAUCGGGCAGACCACUUAGCAAGCUUAUUUUAGAUGUUGAAGUGCGAGGCUUUUUCUAGAACAUAAGGCAAAGCAGACAAGUGAGGAAACAUGCACACAGUGAGCACACAAUCUACCAGAGAGGCCCUCAGAAUGAUCCUGUUAAGCCUGAGUCACGUCACUGACAUCUGCAGCUGUGACUGACAUUAUGGGUGACACGACACCCUUUGUUCUCUGUAAUAACUUGUAAAUAUAUCAUGAGCAUGUGUGGUAAUUCCUAUUGUACGUAUUGUGUGCAAUUACUUUAGAUUAACGCGAUUAUAUAAAUAUACACAUAUUUGCACUGCAGGAUUUUGAAGCCUUGUGUGUACUGUAUGUGUGUGUGUGUGGAGGUGAGUGUAUUUGUUUUCAGACAAAUGAUUCCUUUUCUGCCGAUCCUUCCCUUCAUUUGUCUUUUUAAUGAACUUACUGUCCUGCCCGACAAUCCGUCUACUGCCAAUAACUGUACGGGAGGUGAUUUAACCGCAGUGACUCGGAAGUGUAAACAUCUAAUUAUUACACUUAAAUUGUCAAUAACAUCUCGGUGAGACAUGUCCGCACCUCUGUUCAUAAAGAAACACUAGACUAUAUCUAUAGUAUAGCGCUCUGCAGAAAUGCGAAGAGAUGUUCUGAAGCGCUCUCCGUAUUUCACUCGGAGAGGCACAGCAGAUUGGGUUCUAGAAAUGCAAUGAAAUCGUCAGCACGGCAUUAAGUGGAAAAUUAGAGCCAGAGAAGCCGGGGAACAAGGCGGGAGAGGAGUGGAGUGAUAUUAAACAGCCCGCUGUGCUGCUGGUGGAGGCUCUCCUGUUCAUUUGUAUUCUGCAGAGCGCUCAGUAACCCUGCGCAUCCCCACGGCUCCAGCUUGCGGUGCUGAUCAUCUGUUCCUCCUGCGGGGGGGCCUGCUGAUGAGCGCCGCGGAUUUAACCCCUCAGUGCCAGGGGUGUCCGCUCCAGGCCAGGGCCCGCCACCGGAACCCGGAGCUCUCACCUUAGGCCCGUUUUUAUUUUCAUGCGCACGCCACAUGCAGAAUGUUUGUCCGAAGCUUGAGUAGAAAAGGCUCCUGCGUGUUGUUUAGAGAAGCUUCAGUCCUGGAGGUGUGAACUCCAGGGCCUUCACUUCCUCCUUGUGCAAUCACAUCCAGAAGAGGUGUUUGCGAAGAUGGGUUUAGCAGAACCUUCCUGACUGCUUAGACGGCGAGGAUGGAGGAGAGUGUAAAACACAAAAACCUCCAUCCUGCGCUGCUUGGCUGAAGUAAUCAGCACAAAAUUGAUUUGGGAGAGGGAGCUCGGUUUGUGCCAAACAGAUGGCACACCCUGCUGUGUCUUUGAUUGAAAAAGAAAGGUAACAUUUGCAGCGCCGUCACAGAGAUGGUGAUCAGCUAAACAAAUUGGUCUCCAGCGCGCAGCUUUGCUGGAUCGAGUCACGCUGCAGGGAAGAGGAAGUUUCUUUUCCGGGAACUUGGGGACAUUUGCUGCCCCUUGGAUAAGACAAAAUAAACUGCUGACAAAUUCAGGAACUAUUUGUCUGCCAAUUUGUGAUGUUUCGUUUUCUAAAAAUUUAAUUCUAUCCAUAUCUAGAUACUUAUUCGUCCAUUUUCCUGUCUUGGUCUUGUGUAACGUAUCGCGUGUGAAAGGCCGAGAUGCGGAGACGCGAGUCCGCGUGCCAUUGGUGCAGCCGGAGACGUCCUGGAGCCCAGACAAGGCAGAGUGACGAUGGGCUCUGCUUGUCUCAGCUGGCGGCCUGAUUCCGCUUCAGUAAAGACAAGCAGCUGACCUGAACGAGCCCCGAAUGUGGACUGUCACAGCCCUCGAGAUUCAUCGACUACAUUAGUUUGCUUUACAGAAUGAACACCGAUCUUCUGUCUCGUCCUGUAAAACGCCGGCUGUUCUGUACCUGAGCUGUGGGGGGAACUUGUGCAGCUCAGGCUGGGGGCUGUGUCAUGACCUAGGAUCAGGCUGGAAGGCCAGGCUUUGGUCAAGGCUGAGAGCAAGUGACCUCAUCUGACUUGAACAGCCCACACUGGAGGGACAAUAGGAGCACUUAGAAAUUGCAAUUAGCAUAAAGCAGCUGUUGGCAUGCCAUCUGGAUCUGCACUGACUAUUCCAGCUGAGAUGAAGGGCCUGAUGAAAAGUCUACUUAAGGAAGGAAAACUGUGUUUGAUGAGCAGAGGUAAAGCAGAAACAUACCCAGGGCACAUGUUGGCGGCAAACAGACAGAGGCCGUCCUCAGAGCUCCGGAUUAAUGUGGUGAUGUAGCUAAUUGCAAAAGAGGACUAAUGAGCUGCCUGGGCUUACAGUUUGGCUGACAAGAAAAAUCCAUAACGGGUAGAAAAGCAAAAAGUUAAUGGAUGACAGAAAGCACUUGCCUGCUUUGCUUUGCUUGUUUGUGUACGGUGCAGGGAGGAGCCAGACCAGCUUGUGGCCGAGCAGGAAGAUGGCACAGGGCAAGAACCACCGUGAACGCGCUGAAGGCCCCGGGUUCGAGGCACUCAGCAGGGGUUCAGGGACCACCAGAGGAGAAGGGAAGGACUUCAUUUGUCAAGUCCUUGCGUUCCGGGGAAACUCUCGAGAUCCGAGUGAAGAUUUUGCAGGAAAGUGCAUGUUGCAUUUAAUUGGAAUUAUCACUAUUCCCGCUGCAGGUAGCAUUACAAUUAAUCAUUGUGAUGUUGUUAAUGAAUAUUUCUUGUACACCGUCUCUGCCGUGAGUGCUUUAGUAAAAUUCUAAAGCACCGCACAUAAAUUUCAUGCCUUCAAACUCUGAAGUCACUAGGGUUCUGAAUCUACUCCAUUUCUCUACAAAACUCUGCCUUUGCUUAUUAUACCAGCUUACUUACCAACGCUUUCAAACAGCAGGACCAAGGUGAAGAUGUUCUGAAGAUUCGAUGGAGACAACACUGUCGCCAAGUUUGUAAAACAAAUAUCCAAAACACUGACGGCAAAAUCUUCUCCUUCGCAGUGGCUCUGACAUUGUCAGCGAUAUCUGAGCUCAUGAGUUCAUGGCAGCUUCGCUCGAGCUCUCACACUGUCACACAAUCACUAAACAAAGGCUAAAAAUAUUUAAAUAUUUAAAAGAAUAUUUAAAAGUGCCAAGCGCCAAUUGCACCUGCUAAUGAUUUUUCCUCCUGCACUGUAGUGAGACAAGGGAUUAAUGUCAUUAAAAAAGCUAUUAAACUUUUAAAAGACUAUCUUUGAGAUAUAGAGGUUUUAUCCACACCAAGUGGGAUGAUCGGCUAUCAAAAAGUGCCUAAGGUUAGACUUGAAAAUGCUAAUGCUUUAAUGAAAACUUCAAUUAAUUCAAGAAUUAAUUUUAUAUUCCGCGCAACAUCUAAGGGUGUUUAAAAGUGAUUAUAAAUGUUUCAUCAACUUCUUGCAAAUAUGUUGCUUUUGACAAAUCACAUUACUCUCUGGGUGACAGGAGCCCAGCUGACUCCACUGUGCUCAAUUAGGCUGUGGGCUUGCGGUAAUGCAUAUUUUAAUCUGCCCUGCGGUGUCACAUCAUCUCACUCUGCAGUGGCAAUAAGCCACGUGCCCUAUUAACUACUUCAGGUCCCUUCCUCUGGUCACCACGUGAGACCUGGCUUUUCAGAUUUCUCUACCCUACAGCCCUAACUUUUCACUUAUUGUAAACCAGAACGGUCUUAUUACUGAUGGACAACAAAUCUUUAUCUGCCACACAGUGCUCUGAGCCACACAGUUAUCUACAGGACCCGCUGCUGACCCCAGAGGAAACGGCACACAGAGUGAUUGCAAGGAAAGAACUGCUGUUUUGGAAACACAGCAGCGAUAAGUAUAAUGACACUGACGUGGAUUGAUCUUGUAAUGAUAAAACCUUCAGUGAGAAGAAAUGUCCUUGUUUUAUGAUGGAAGUCUCAUUGUUACUCCCAUUCCAGAAUGAGGACGGGCUCAUGACUGACGGGCACUUGUACAGCAGCUCUCGGCCCAGACAAGCCAGAGACCCGCAGGUGCACAGAGCUGUGGAGGGCAGGCAGCCCUUCCCCUGGUGUGCAAUGAAUCAUGGGAGAACUCAGGCCAGCCCACACCAUUGGACACUCCUGACUUUCUGUGGUCUAAGGAAAAAAAAUGACUGAUGUUUUCUGUAGUUCACUUAGCCCGUUCUCUUUGAUGUGUUUAUUGAAUGCUAUUGAAUGUUAUUGAAAUUCAAGAAUUCAUUGUAUGUUCUGAGCUAUAUCACCAAUGUCAGGAUGCAAAAAUUAAACUAAACAAGAAACAUGGGGCAAUAGGUCUAUCCCAAUCACAGAAGGAAAUAACUGAAACAAACACAUCUAUUUUUACUUAAAAAAGGUCCAGGAACUACAAGUUAGUUUGCAGUAAGGGUUAAAUGCAAGCUAUAGAAACUAAAAAAAGCUAUGUUUAAAAACGAGGUGAAAAAGUAGAUUAAUAGGCAUCUCUUUUACACAAUGUUUGUUUUUUUAAUUCCCAAGCAAUAAAUAUUUGGUUAAUA